This is a long non-coding RNA of Alosa sapidissima (American shad), 388 nucleotides long. RefSeq lists it as uncharacterized. NCBI's taxonomy places the organism in Eukaryota, Metazoa, Chordata, Actinopteri, Clupeiformes, Clupeidae. The transcript has 4 exons. The record is from RefSeq and is a predicted model, not a curated record.
AGCCCGGCUGGCAAAGGAGAAGGCAGAGCGCGAGAAGCAGGAGCGGCAGCAGAAGAAGAAGCAGCUGAUUGACAUGAACAAAGAAGGAGAUGAGACAGGCGUGAUGGACAGUCUAAUGGAAGCCUUGCAGACCGGAGCGGCGUUCCGCGACCGGAGGAAACGGACCCCACGAAAUGGUGAUCAAAGCCCUCCAGUCCAGGCCUGUCGGUGGCCGGGUGCUAACCAUGCAGAUAACCGGCGUGCUGGUCUGGAGAGGUCCCGCUCGCGCCACAACCCCAGCCUGCUGCCCCGAUGAUCACCCCCAGCUCACCGGACAUCCACAGACGUCAGCCAAGUGCCAAAGAGACCAGUAAGGCCAGGGGGAGGAAGUGUGGACAGCAGACACUGG